This 491-nucleotide ribosomal RNA is filed under the name uncultured bacterium. RNAcentral's name for it is "partial 16S ribosomal RNA". It matches the Rfam family "Bacterial small subunit ribosomal RNA", at positions 29 to 506 of the family's 1533-position model. The record is from RNAcentral.
AGUGAACGCUGGCGGUAGGCCUAACACAUGCAAGUCGAACGGCAGCACAGUAAGAGCUUGCUCUUACGGGUGGCGAGUGGCGGACGGGUGAGGAAUACAUCGGAAUCUACUUUUUCGUGGGGGAUAACGUAGGGAAACUUACGCUAAUACCGCAUACGACCUACGGGUGAAAGCAGGGGAUCUUCGGACCUUGCGCGAUUGAAUGAGCCGAUGUCGGAUUAGCUAGUUGGCGGGGUAAAGGCCCACCAAGGCGAGGAUCCGUAGCUGGUCUGAGAGGAUGAUCAGCCACACUGGAACUGAGACACGGUCCAGACUCCUACGGGAGGCAGCAGUGGGGAAUAUUGGACAAUGGGCGCAAGCCUGAUCCAGCCAUACCGCGUGGGUGAAGAAGGCCUUCGGGUUGUAAAGCCCUUUUGUUGGGAAAGAAAAGCAGCAGGUUAAUACCCCGCUGUUCUGACGGUACCCAAAGAAUAAGCACCGGCUAACUUCGU